CCCAGCCCCCACCAGUCCACCGCCCGGGUGUAGGACGGAUCCGUCAAAAUUUCUGGAGCCAGGAAUUCCGGGGUGCCGCAGAAGGUGCUGGUCCGGUCUCCGAAACCGACCCCUGGGAUGCGGGAUAAAGAGGAGAAAAACGGUGCACCAUCGUUUAUAAUGCUUACGGAGAAGAAUCUCUUGUUAAAUUAUGUGAAGGCAGCGAAUGCAAAUGUAUGGAAGCGGAAUGUGGACAUAUGCAGCCCCGGCUGGACACCUCCAUAACUUUGGAUACCCGGAAAGAGGCAGCUUGCCAGCAGAACAUUGCCUAUGUUCCUCUACGGAGGAUCAUCAACACUCACGGCUGAGUUCCUCCUGGCAAAGGAGCUUCCCCGCAGGCCCCCGGCCGGGGAAGUUGAUGCCAGCCCAUGUCCGGGUCAAAAGCCUGAAGUCACCAGAGCUCGUGUAAACAGGCGCGGAAGUGGCCAUACGGGAACGGCCUGGCAUCUUCUCCAAGAGGUCUUCACAGCCCACCAAACGGACUAGAAGGCCACCUGCAAGCCAAAGAGAAGAGCCACAACGCGUGAACCACUGUCACAAAAGAGGGUUGUAAGGAAAAAUGUUCAAAAUAUAUCACUGAAGGAGAAAAUUGCCGUGAUUAUUCAAAUCAUUUACCAGAAUAAAUUCAGAACGGAAAAUCCAGCAUGAAUUAGGCAGUAGAUCUAAAAGAAAUUAGGACUUUUAUCUCUCUGGGACUGAACAGAGAUGUUGGUUCUUUGACUAAUUUGAUCCAGUUACAAUACUCAGAAAACAGGCUUCUGUUUAUCUGGAGUACUUUGAAAUUUUAGUGGAAAUUGGCACAACUUGUCUGCAGCUUUGUUGCCAUUUAACUUGGUGUUUACACAUAAACACACAAGGAUAAGUGAGGAUAAGUGAGAUAACUUUGUUAUUUUACUAAACACAGUUAAUCUGUUUAAAAACAACACAACAUUUUCCUUAUCACAAAAGAACAUUCCUUGUUUUGUAAAACAAUGGCUGUUAAGUCUAAAAUGUAGAAACUGUCAUGCAAUAAGGCUGGCCAGAGCCACUGUAGGUGAGGAGCGGCGUAGGAAAUUGAUAAAAGAAAAGGAAAGGAAAGGAAGAAAAGGAGAAAAAAGGAGGAAGGGAAAGGAGAAUUUGAAGGGAAGGAAAGAAAUAACAAAGGAAAAGAAAAAAGAAAGGAGAUAAAUGGAUGAAAAAGGAAAAGAAAAGAAAUUAAAUAACAAUAAAAUCUGUGUGGUAUUCUUUGCUUCCAGUAAUCUAUGACUGCAUAAUUUUUAUUUUCUCUUGAUUUGCAUGCAGAUAGGCUGAAACAGAAAAUCAUAUUUAAUGGAUUUGAUACAGUGGCUUUAAUUAGCAUUGGCAAAUUCGUACGUUUGCAUUUGUACCUUUAUAGCUGCUGGAAAGUCGGGAUGUUAUUAGAAAGCGAACGUCUUCAUUUCUUUGUAAAAUAUCCAGAGUUUUGUUAAUCAAAUGAAAGUUAAGAUUUCAUUCUGGCUGGGUUUUUUCCAUGUACAAAACUCCGGAUCAGUGCUUCCUCUCAUUCAAAGGAGUUUCCUCCCUUCCAGUCUAAUUACAUCCUGCCGUGUAUAUCGAGGUUUGAAUAUGCCAAAUGGAAAGACACACACAAAUAUUGAAAUAAAGUUAA
Molecule: long non-coding RNA, 1666 nt
Organism: Crotalus tigris (Tiger rattlesnake)
Lineage: Eukaryota; Metazoa; Chordata; Lepidosauria; Squamata; Viperidae
Exons: 4
Source: RefSeq, a predicted model, not a curated record